AAGGGAUAUAACUCAGUAGUAGAGUGUCACCUUUAUGUGGUGAAAGUCAUCAGUUCAAACCUGAUUAUCCCUA
This 73-nucleotide transfer RNA is filed under the name Taxus cuspidata (Japanese yew). RNAcentral's name for it is "tRNA-Ile". It matches the Rfam family "tRNA". From Rfam's summary of the family: Transfer RNA (tRNA) molecules are approximately 80 nucleotides in length. Their secondary structure includes four short double-helical elements and three loops (D, anti-codon, and T loops). Lineage: Eukaryota; Viridiplantae; Streptophyta; Pinopsida; Cupressales; Taxaceae. The record is from RNAcentral.